Jatropha curcas is the source of this 1021-nucleotide non-coding RNA. Lineage: Eukaryota; Viridiplantae; Streptophyta; Magnoliopsida; Malpighiales; Euphorbiaceae. The record is from RefSeq and is a predicted model, not a curated record.
UUAAUUCUUUAUUUACAGGAAAAAAGAAAUUGGUGGUGACAGAACGAGAGAACAAACCAGUGAGGGUAGCAUCCCCUUCCCAUUUCAACUUUAGCAAGCAACAGAAAUCUGCACUCUGGUUAUGGUACCUAUAUCAGUCAGGAAGUGUGUGAAAACUAGAACCACUCUGCACUCGAAGCUCCCAUCCUUAGAACAUAGUGGCUAGACACUCGUUAAGAUAGAACUUGAAACUUAUAGAAGACAAAAGCCCCUACAACGGCUUCUUGUCCAGAGACACAAGCAUUCUUUGUUUACAAUAAAGUCAGUUCAUUUUUUAAAGAUAGCUCUUGAACAAGCUCUCAGUGAUAAAAAAACUUAUCCCUCUGGCUUUUGUGAGAAAAAUAUGGAAGUGAACUAUCAAGCACAGCAAUUCUUAGGGUUCCUGCAGAUGGUGCCUCGUGGCAAGUAGAAUUAUUUAAGGAUCGUGAUGAUAUUUGCUUGCAACAUGGUUGGCCGGAAUUUGCUGAAGGGUACUCUAUGAGACAUGGGCACUUAAUGCUUUUUGAGUCCAAGGGGAAUUCACAGUUUUCUAUAGUCAUAUUUGACAAAACUGCUACAGAAAUUGAUUAUUCACUUUGUAUAACCCAUCAUAUAGGGCCUAAUCAAGACUUCAAAUUUAAGGAACCCACUGAAGAUGUCCCUAUUGAAGCAUUGAUGUCAAUUCUCCUAAACCCACAAAGAGAGGAAAAUCACAAUCAUCUUGUUCUCCACCUCGUAAGAGGAUGAAAAUUGAUGUAAUUGGAAAUUCUCAAAGACCAUCAAAACCACUGAACGUGAUCCCACAAAACAAACCUCAAGUAAGGAAAGAGAAAUCUGAAAGAAAGGCCACUUUAGGCCGUUCCAGACAAAAAUUUGAUGAUAUAUGUAUAAUUUCCAUAAUUUUCUGUCUAUAUAUUUAACUUUUGAUCUAAUCUUGUAAGCUCUUUCGGGAGAUUUGGGUAAUAACGAUAAUUUCUUGAAAAGAUUUGGACUUUUUCUGUCA